UUCGAUGCUUGUAUGCUACUCC
RNAcentral lists this microRNA (22 nucleotides) under Columba livia (rock pigeon). RNAcentral describes it as "cli-miR-1559-5p". The record is from miRBase by way of RNAcentral. RNAcentral also lists the same sequence under 2 other names. Lineage: Eukaryota; Metazoa; Chordata; Aves; Columbiformes; Columbidae.